CCUGCACAACGGUGGAGCAUGUGGUUUAAUUCGAAGCAACGCGCAGAACCUUCCAGCGUUUGACAUCCUCAUCGCGAUUUCCAGAGAUGGAUUUCUUCUUUCGGCUGGAUGAGUGACAGGUGCUGCAUGGCUGUCGUCAGCUCGUGUCGUGAGAUGUUGGGUUAAGUCCCGCAACGAGCGCAACCCUCGCCCUUAGUUGCCAUCAUUUAGUUGGGCACUCUAAGGAAACUGCCGGUGAUAAGCCCGCGGAAGGUGGGGAUGACGUCAAGUCCUCAUGGCCCUUACACGCUGGGCUACACACGUGCUACAAUGGCGGUGACAGUGAGCGGCUAACCCGCGAGGGUAUG
Molecule: ribosomal RNA, 347 nt
Filed under: Sphingomonas sp.
Lineage: Bacteria; Pseudomonadati; Pseudomonadota; Alphaproteobacteria; Sphingomonadales; Sphingomonadaceae
Description: bacterial SSU rRNA
Rfam family: Bacterial small subunit ribosomal RNA
Source: RNAcentral